CAACCCUUGUCCUUAGUUACCAGCACCUCGGGUGGGCACUCUAAGGAGACUGCCGGUGACAAACCGGAGGAAGGUGGGGAUGACGUCAAGUCAUCAUGGCCCUUACGGCCAGGGCUACACACGUGCUACAAUGGUCGGUACAAAGGGUUGCCAAGCCGCGAGGUGGAGCUAAUCCCAUAAAACCGAUCGUAGUCCGGAUCGCAGUCUGCAACUCGACUGCGUGAAGUCGGAAUCGCUAGUAAUCGUGAAUCAGAAUGUCACGGUGAAUACGUUCCCGGGCCUUGUACACACCGCCCGUCACACCAUGGGAGUGGGUUGCUCCAGAAGUAGCUAGUCUAACCGCAAGGGGGACGGUUACCACGGAGUGAUUCAUGACUGGGGUGAAGUCGUAACAAGGUAACCAAGGGCGAAUUCGCGGCC
This 420-nucleotide ribosomal RNA is filed under the name uncultured bacterium. Its description in RNAcentral is "bacterial SSU rRNA". It matches the Rfam family "Bacterial small subunit ribosomal RNA", at positions 1099 to 1519 of the family's 1533-position model. The record is from RNAcentral.